GAAUCGGAAUCGCCUAUAUAUCAAAAAAUCGCGACAUACUCGCUGUGGAUACAUUUGUCGCUAGCUUCGACGCUGGGUGACGAGUUCUGAUAAACUUGUUGAAAUCCCAGCUGUCUAGGCUGUUAAACAAACAAGCCCCCACAUCUCCUCCACUUCUGGUCGUGGUUCUCAAUUGUCAUGUUUGUAUUUGAUGUUUUUUCACAACGUCAAACUAGAGUCAUGAUCAACUAGAUCCUCUUCUCCUGAAGAGGAGUGGGACUUCGAUGAUGGCAGAUCUUUUGCAGAUUGCAAAAUUACAUUUUGACUAAGGUAAAACAGGAUGAUCUUGUUGUGCUCCAGGGUUGUGUUAUUGAGUUGAACAGAAAAUUCAACGUUGCUGGGGAGGAGAUUGUGUAGUGGAGUCGAACUUCAACUCUUAUAUGAUCAUCCCCUUCUUCGGGCUGCAAUAAUUGAAUGCUAAACUAUGCACCUAGGCUUCCGGCAUCCAGCGUGUCUGUGAGCUAUAGCUUGCAAAUGAUGGAUAAGCUCUAUCCUGUCCCACUUGGCGGCUGUCUCGCGCCAUUGUGUUCGGUGAAGCGAAUUCUAGAACCGCAGAGCUAAUGCUCCGAGUGCUCCUUUUGGAAGGCGCAAGGAGAAAAUAAAAUAAAAAUAAAGGAAUGAACAAAGGAAUAAUAUUCGCAUAAUUCAAACCUUCAAGCCAAGUAAGCAAGAAGCAGCGCAAGGAGAAGAGGCUGGCUACUCUUCAAUCCAUCUGCACAUGAGGACAAACGGAGAAUGGGCUCAAACAAGCAGAUCACAGAAGGCGCGGUCCAGACGUAUACCUGCAGAUAUCCAUCGAAAUGCAGUCCAUCCAUAGAGAUUCAUCCAGGCCACGCGCGACCCUCCCCCCACGUCCUCUAAAGAUAUGACUGGGUUUACCCCAGCCGAAGGAGGCUUAUCCACGCAAUCUACAACCAUCCUUGCUGCUCUAGAUGGCCAUGAUCCUUUCGGUCAUGGGUAUUUCUCAACAGGCCAGGGGUGGUGGGGGAGGUAACCGGAAAAGUAGAGUUGGCAAAUAUAUUGCAUGAGUUAUGCAUCACCUCCCCGGAGUUGCAAUGAUGCUACGGAUGUUUGAUCAGACCACUCAUAUACACGGAAGCGUGGGGUCUUUCGAUGUUGGGGUGUUGGGGCCAAAAGUUUGCCCUCCGAUUGAGGUCUUCGACCCUUCUUUAUGUACCAGGGGGUAGGGAAGCCCCAACUUUCUGAAACAGGAUUGGUUUGAGUGGUCUACUAGGUAUGCUAUCUUUAUGUGCGUGGGGUAGAAUUAAAUCGGGGACAGGACAGGUGGCGUACAUGGUAUUCAUCAAUUCUUCAAAAUGGACAUUAUCUUACACAAUUCCUCCUAAUUGCCCCUUUAGACUCCUGCGUAAAAUGGGCGGUUAGCAGAGGAUCAUCACGGAUGAAUCAAAGUGACCCUUAUCCGUCAAUAUAGAUGGAAGGGUGGAGUAGUUGAAGAGCGAGAUGGG
This 1505-nucleotide small RNA is filed under the name Histoplasma capsulatum. Its description in RNAcentral is "hypothetical RNA". The record is from RNAcentral. Lineage: Eukaryota; Fungi; Ascomycota; Eurotiomycetes; Onygenales; Ajellomycetaceae. RNAcentral also lists the same sequence under 1 other name.